AGAUGGAUUGGUGCCUUCGGGAACUGUGAGACAGGUGCUGCAUGGCUGUCGUCAGCUCGUGUUGUGAAAUGUUGGGUUAAGUCCCGCAACGAGCGCAACCCUUAUCCUUUGUUGCCAGCGGUCCGGCCGGGAACUCAAAGGAGACUGCCAGUGAUAAACUGGAGGAAGGUGGGGAUGACGUCAAGUCAUCAUGGCCCUUACGACCAGGGCUACACACGUGCUACAAUGGCGCAUACAAAGAGAAGCGACCUCGCGAGAGCAAGCGGACCUCAUAAAGUGCGUCGUAGUCCGGAUUGGAGUCUGCAACUCGACUCCAUGAAGUCGGAAUCGCUAGUAAUCGUGGAUCAGAAUGCCACGGUGAAUACGUUCCCGGGCCUUGUACACACCGCCCGUCACACCAUGGGAGUGGGUUGCAAAAGAAGUAGGUAGCUUAACCUUCGGGAGGGCGCUUACCACUUUGUGAUUCAUGACUGGGGUGAAGUCGUAACAAGGUAACCGUAGGGGAAC
RNAcentral lists this ribosomal RNA (507 nucleotides) under uncultured bacterium. RNAcentral's name for it is "bacterial SSU rRNA". It matches the Rfam family "Bacterial small subunit ribosomal RNA", at positions 1004 to 1511 of the family's 1533-position model. The record is from RNAcentral.